Long non-coding RNA from Oryctolagus cuniculus (rabbit), 1405 nucleotides. The record is from Ensembl. Lineage: Eukaryota; Metazoa; Chordata; Mammalia; Lagomorpha; Leporidae.
GGGAGGCCUGGGUUCCCUUCAGGAGGGCACUGAGAAUCCCCCUGUUGCAUCCCCAAUCCCAGGCCCCCACAGACCACAAGGAGAAGUGGCCAGGGUCAUCGCACUGGAAAUUGGCCCCUGAGCAGUCCCUCCAGUGCUUGGCGUGACACCCAAGACAUCCUGGCCCGAUGACCACAGCUGUCUGCACACAGGACCCUCCUAGGACAGCCAAGGCUAUAAAACGGUGCAGCAGGCCCCUGGGGCAGGCAGGCGUCUCCCAGAUGCACGUUCCUGCCCCCACUGCUCCGAAGGCCAAAAUCACCAUUCAGGACACAGUGGCAGUGUGGGAGCAGACCAGGGGUCCCGCUACUCGUGCAGUGAUGAUCCGUCCUCCAGAAAGCUUUGGCCUCUGCAUCGCCGAGAGGGAAGGCAUGGAGGAGGAGGAGAGCUGGGAAGGCAGCCCAGAGCCCCUCGGCCUGGGCUCCCCUGUGGGGACCACAGAGUCUCCAGGUUCUGCCAGCCCCAUGGAGUCUCCAGAGUACUCGAGGUGGGGAGGCCUGUGCCAGUGCGCCAGUCUCCCUAACCUGAGCGGGCCAGAGCACAGGGAGGAUGACUCCUCCGACGCUGGCAGCCGGGAGGGCCUGUGGAUGUGGGCUCCUCCACGGGCCUCGGAGACCCCGGAACCAGGGCCCAUGCAGGCUGUCCCCGCCUGGGGGCCACGGCUGAAGACUUCCCCCUACUGGCAUGGCAGCCCCACGCACUCUGGGGACAGUCACGGGCUGGAGCCGGCCAGAGCCAGCCCUGGGCUGGGAGACCAGGCCCGCGUGCCCUCCCUGGCCAGAGGCCUCCUUACCUCUUAUUCCUUGGGGCACCUGGAUGAUGGGUGCCUCCUAGAAGAGAGGCCGAGUCCAGCAUCUGUCCUGCCCAGGCUGGGCAGCAGCCUUCCGUGUGUCUUCACGGCAUCCUGUGCACUUGGUUGAGCCCCCACCGCCCAGGCUCUUCCUGGGGCCAGGACACCCUGACACUGGAAGACAACAGCCAUGCCAGGAGCCACUGUACUCUCCUCCCCGCCCCCCUCCCCCACCGCCACCCUCAGGUGGUGCUGAGCCUGUAUUAAAUUGUCCCAUGGAAAGGAGUUUGCUCCAGUUUGUGACCCUGGUGCCCAGCGGCAGCAAGCUUCCCCGUGUUCCUGGGGAGAUGGGAGGUUCCACAGCCCCCAUCCUCAGGCAGAGACCCGCUCAGGACCCUGCAGGCACAGAAGAAACUCCUGGCUCCUGGCUUUGGAUCGGCACAGCUCUGGUGGUUGUGGCCAUCUGGGGAGUGAACGAGCAGAUGGAAGACCUCUCUCUCUGUCUUUGCCUCUCCUCUCUCUGUGUAACUCUGACUUUCAAAUAAAUAAAUAAAUAUUUUAAAAAUGUAUUAUGUA